GUUCCCAUACCGAACACAGUAGUUAAGCUCAGUAGCGCCAAAAGUAGUUGGAGGAUCGCCUCCUGCGAGGAUAGGACG
This 78-nucleotide ribosomal RNA is filed under the name Weissella thailandensis fsh4-2. Lineage: Bacteria; Bacillati; Bacillota; Bacilli; Lactobacillales; Lactobacillaceae. The record is from RNAcentral.